CUUUUGGCUCAGUUUUUUUGAGCAUCAGUCUGAAAUGUUGUUUAUAUGAAUGUGAAAGUUAUUAAGUAGUAAUAUUUCACUAAUUUUGAAAAUUGAGAAUUCAUUUUUAGAUUAGUGAGAAAUCUGAAGAUAAUUGUGUUUAAUAGCUUAGAAUUCUUUAUGAUUAGCAACUCUGUGUUAAUAGCAAAUAACCAGAAACAGCCCAAAUGUCCAUCAACAGAAAUGGGCUAAUGAAUUCUUACAUAGAGUGAAAUUCUUUAUAGCAGUUACAGUAAAUAAGCCAUUGCUAAUGAAUACAAAAUUCAAGUUUAAGAAGGAUCCCACUUACCUUAUUUUAAAAAAAGUCUACAUUUUUAAUGUAUGUAUACAAAAUCUUAAAAUUUGACUAAGCAUAAUGGGAGAUAUUCAUUAUAUGAUUUCCUAAGCCCUAGUGGAUUCUUGCAAAGUUUCAUAAUUAAAAAAAAUUUAAAAAAAGGCCAGGUGCGGUGGCUUAUGCCUGUAAUCCCAGCACUUUGGGAGGCCGAGGCGGGUGGAUCACUUGAGGUCAGGUGUUUGAGACCAGCCUGGCCAACAUGGUGAAACCCUGUCUCAACUAAAAAUGCAAAAAUGAGCCAGGUGUGGAGGCAUGCACCUGUAAUCUCAGCUGCUUGAGAGGCUGAGGCAGGAGAAUCGCUUGAACCCAGGAGGCGGAGGUUUCAGUGAGUUGAGAUCACGCCACUGCACUCUAGCCUGGGCCACAGAGUGAGACUUUGUCUCAAAAAUAAAUAAAUAAAUAAAUAAAUAAAUAAAAAAUAAAGGAACAUGAGAGAGAAGUGGUGGGAAA
This 823-nucleotide long non-coding RNA is filed under the name Homo sapiens (human). RNAcentral's name for it is "non-protein coding lnc-NAT1-6:1". The record is from RNAcentral. Lineage: Eukaryota; Metazoa; Chordata; Mammalia; Primates; Hominidae.